RNAcentral lists this unclassified non-coding RNA (18071 nucleotides) under Homalodisca vitripennis (glassy-winged sharpshooter). Its description in RNAcentral is "eye-specific diacylglycerol kinase, transcript variant X3". Lineage: Eukaryota; Metazoa; Arthropoda; Insecta; Hemiptera; Cicadellidae. The record is from RNAcentral.
AUGGUUGUCUGUGGUUGCAGCUGCCCGUGCAUGAAUGGCGGGAAGCCCGGGCGCCGGGGACUGACGGGUCAUGCAGCGUCUGCGCACCACGUUCAAGCGGUCCCGAACCCCUACCGGCGCCGAGAUGAAGACCCAGAGCAGCUUGGAGGUGCCCAAGCAGGUGCGGUCCGCCUCCUUCGACGAGAUCCAACUGGAGGCGAAGCGGGCCCUCCAGCACCAGACGUCCGAGUCGGGGAGCUUCCUGUCGGUCCCCACCCACUCGCAGCGAUCAAAGAGCUUCGAUGGAGGCGGCGGUGGGGGAGAGGACCCGGGCAUGUUCUUGGAAGUUCCCCGCGGACGGUUUCAACGGAGGAGAUCGUCCGGUGAUAAGUCCCCACCGGUGUGUGUCCACUGCAUCUACAUGGAGGAGUACCUGAGGAUGAGGACACCGCCGGGGGAGGAUCCCCCACACCUGAGAUCCUUCAGUUACAGCGACACGUCCACCGAAGACGACAUCGACAGUGACCCCGAGCCCCUCCUGGACCUGGACCUGGAGCCGCCUCUGACUCCGAUGACCCCUCAGUGUUGUAUCACCGUCACUUUGUCGCCCAACCCCAGUACGCCCUCCGCGUUCGACGAUCCGCCUUCCCCUUCGACCCGGAGAAGAUCGAUAACCUCUCCCAAACUGGAACGUCAAGAAGCCUUUAUAUUCAACGAAAACCUUCUAGAGCCCCCUUCGCCGGAUGAACCUCCUCCCACACCCGUCCCCAAUUCCCUGAUAGUCAGUGAGUUCUUCCUGGCGGUUCCUGAGCUGAAGCGGGACCGUGCGGCCUCGGUGGACUCUUGCUUCAUCAACAAGCACGCCGGCAAGACGGAGGAGAUCCCCGAGGUUCCUUCGACUCAGCUGUUGCUGGAGCCUCCACCGCUCGGGCCUAACGCCCUCCGCUCUCGGUCAGUAGACAUCGUCCUGCCGACCGACACCCAGGCCCGGUACAAAGCACUGGCCAUGACUUCUGCACGCACGUCUGAGAAGGGGAAGGCAGUGCAAGGCGGGGGCGGUGCGGACGCGGGGGCGGAGGCGGCACAACGAAGUAUUCGCUCGACCCCAGACUGGAGUGAAGGUGCGGUGAACGGCGACCAUCUUUGGUCCCCAACCAACGCCUCGGGGGACUUCUGCUACGUGGGCGAAGGCGACUGUACGAAACACGGUGGCCGGAUGAAGUGCUCAGCAUGCAAGAUAGUGGCGCACUCCGGUUGUAUCGGCGUGCUGAUGGAUCGAGUCAAGUUCACGUGCAAGCCGACCUUCAGAGAUGUGGGUGUGCGACAAUACCGCGAGCAGACCUGCAUCCACCAUCACUGGGUCCACCGGCGCUCGCAGAAGGGGAAGUGCAAGCAAUGCGGCAAGUCGUUCCAGUCCAAGUUGUCGUUCAGCUCUAAGGAGAUUGUUGCGCUGAGUUGCUCCUGGUGCAAGACCGCCUAUCACAACAAGGAGGCCUGCUUCAACCUCCAGAAGAUUGGGGAGGAGUGUAACCUAGGUCAUCACGUCAACAUCAUAGUUCCACCGUCUUGGAUUGUGAAACUCCCGAGAAGAGGCAGUUUCAAAUCUAGCCUUCGAAAAUCGCCUAAAAAGAAGCCAUCGAGUAAAAAGCGAAGUAAAGAAAAGGUAGAAAAAGAUCCCAAGACCUUUGUAAUUAAACCCAUCCCUACUGCCAACGUUCGGCCGGUCAUUGUGUUCAUCAACCCCAAGUCCGGGGGCAACCAAGGUACUAAACUGCUCCAGAAGUUCCAGUGGCUUCUGAACCCUCGACAAGUGUUUGACUUGACUCAAGGUGGUCCCAAGAUGGGGCUGGAGUUAUUCCGUAAAGUGCCUAAUCUGAGAGUGCUGGCGUGCGGGGGCGACGGCACCGUAGGGUGGGUCUUGUCUAUCCUGGACCAGCUUGCCUUCUCUCCCCCGCCAGCUGUGGGGGUGCUGCCCCUCGGCACAGGCAACGACCUAGCCCGUGCCCUGGGCUGGGGAGGGGGAUACACAGAUGAGCCUAUAUCCAAGAUCCUGGCGAACAUCGGUGAGAGUGAUGUAGUCAACCUGGACCGCUGGGAACUCAAGGUGGAGAAAAAUACUCAGGCGGAAGCCAAUGAAGAGGGUAAAGAGAAUUUGCCGCUCAACGUAGUCAACAACUAUUUCUCCCUCGGUGUGGACGCUCACAUAGCACUGGAAUUUCAUGAAGCUAGAGAGGCACACCCGGAGAGGUUCAACUCUCGACUACGGAACAAGAUGUUCUACGGCCAGAUGGGUGGCAAGGAUCUGCUUAGGCGCAAGUGGAAGGGGUUAGCAGAACUGGUAACACUGGAGUGCGACGGCAAGGACAUGACACCCAAACUGAAAGAACAUAAGGUCCAUGCCAUUGUCUUUCUCAACAUUCCUAGUUAUGGUGGAGGCACUCACCCAUGGAAUCGUGCCCAGGGAGUAGAGCAGUCUACAGAAGAUGGCAUGAUCGAAGUAGUUGGAUUAACAACCUACCAACUACCACUGCUGCAGGCGGGUGGCCAUGGUACCACCAUCUGCCAAUGCCAGUCCGCCAAGAUAGUCACCACCAAGACCAUCCCGAUGCAGGUGGAUGGAGAGGCUUGCAAGCUUACACCUUCCAUCAUCUCCAUGAACUUGCUGAAUAAGGCUCCAAUGUUGGCCAAGCGCAGGGGAGGCAAAGCUCAUGUUCCGCAAACUACGCUAGAGCAGCUGAGGGUGACGGUGUACAGGAUAAGCAUGGCCGACUACGAACAACACCACUACGACAAGCAGCUCCUGAAACAAGCAGCAAUAAAAAUGGGGGAAAUCGAAGUUGCCGCAGUGGCAGAUUUAGAACAAGUUCGGCAAAUGGUAAACAAACUGCAAGAAACCCCUUCGGAAUCAUCGGACAGUUGCCCAAAACUGUCUCCAGACUGGUGUUUUGUCGAUUCAUGUACAGCUGAAAGAUUCUUCCGAGUGGAUCGCGCCCAGGAACACCUCCACUAUCUAACUGACAUCUCCAACGAGGCGCUGUACGUUUUGGACACCCUGCCUCAAACACCAGAUGACGAGACAGCAUUUCCAUCUCCUGCAACGUCAAACCACCAGUCUCCGAGCAGCCUACCAGGCGAGCAGACCACUCCCGAGCUGAGCCCUAGCGAUGAAAUGCCUCAGAGACCUCACCAGCUCUCUCUGAACAGCAGCAACCGAGUACAGGAACUGAGGACACCAGAUGAUGACUCAGCGUUCAAUAAUACCACAGAUGGCUCACCCAUCGCGGCAGGAACCACCAACUACAUUAGCAAGAUUCAAGAGCGUUUGUUUGGAAUAGGGUUGUUUAACUACAGCAAUCUCUUGGAAAAAACAUCGGACGGCAUCAUCCGGGCAGCUAGGAAUGGAGAUCUGAAAAUGCUGAAGGAGCUGCAUGGACAGGGGUUCUCACUUCUGUCCAUCGAUGCUAGUGGUCAGACUGCUCUUCAUCACGGUGCAAGAUUCGGACACAAGGACAUCGUAAAGUACCUCAUCGCUUGUGCCCCCUCCUCCAUACUCAACAUGGCCGAUAAUGACAAGGGGCAAACAGCACUACACAAGGCAGCGGUUACCAAGCGGCGCAGUAUCUGCUGUAUGUUGGUGGCUGGUGGUGCAGCAUUGAACAUGACCGACCGAGAGGGCAAGACAGCUCGCCAGUUGGCAAUACAGGCAGAUGACCAAGACCUUGCUGCAUACCUGGAGAACUUAUCAACGGCGUCUGUGAUUGAUUAUACUGUGAACAGACUGGGGAUGAUUCAAAACCAUGUGAAUAAGAAACUGAAAAGGCCCUUAAAAAAGUCAAAAUAAAGACUUGCGAUGAAUAAAAAGGAGAUGUUUUUUGAAGAUACCAAGAUCCUAACAAAGGAUUGCUUAGGGCCAAGAGAGUUUCCAGCUGACCGGUGAAGAUGUGGAGACGGUGGUCUGAGGCCGGGUUUGUCGUUGUGUGCUUGAAUCCCGAUAUCUCGUCAAUUAUCCCCCUCCUGCUUCAUCAUAUCAACUGCAGACCUAGCAAUGCCUUCACUUCAUACUACCGUGUUGUUUUCUAAUACAGUAUCGUAACAUACGUCAGUCUCUUAGGUGUAGAACUAAUAGUGCAAUCAUAUUUUAACAUAAUGGACACUAUUUUUAAUACUGAAGAUUGUCUAUCAUUCAAGCAUUAUGAGAUAUUCUGAUCUACUGUGAACCUCUGAACAAGUCAUUCUUGUAAAUUUUAACAUAUUGUACAGAAAAUUAAUCAAAAUGAGCCUUUUUCUCUUGAGUAUUUGGAAUUUUAUUUUGUGAAAUGAUUUAUUUUUUGUACUACUUGUAUAGGUUGUGCACUAUUUGCAUUUACGGUUAGGAAAAUGCAUGUUGUAUCUAUUAUCAAAUGGUGCAUAUAGUGUAACUUUAUUUUAUUUUUUUACUCCUGAUAUAUAAUUUUACUUAUUGAUAAAAAAUAAUAUGCGGUGCCAAAGUGUUUAAUUAAAAAUAUUAACUUUUAUGGUGUUUUUUGUUAAACAUAUUAGAUUAUCUUACGAAAUAUAACUAGUAUUUAUGAUUUACAGUUUGUCUUUAAAUCAAGUCAAUUUAAUACAAAUUCUGUAACAAACUCUUUACUAUAACAAUACAAAUAACAAAUCUCAGUGAAAUAUGUAGAGUAAUGCUUCUGAAUUAUAUAAAAAAACUAAUCAGUGUUUUUGCAUUAAUACUGUACGAUUUUCAAGAAGCAUGAGUAUAGUAUUUGUAUUUCUUGUGCUUUGCAAUGGGACCUUGUAUAUAUUUGGGGGCUUCUACUCCAAGACCAAUACCCUGUUUAGCCUGAAUGCACUCCUUAAAUUAUAUUUAUAACUAUUGUAAGAACUAAGAAGACACCAACUUGUUUUAUAUUCAGCGAACUACUUGCAUAUUAUAUAUAGAAACUAAAAAUAUGAAAUGAAUAAGUAUUAGGAUGUUUUUACUCAUUGUAUACAUAGAAUAUAUAUUUCAACUAAAAAUUAAAAGAAUUUGUAUUGUAAAAUGUAUAGUCUUCUACUACCUAUUUGAACUUAUGGCCUUUUUUGCACAUAUGAAAUGAACAUUUUGAUGUAACUUAUCUAUUCAAUAAGCUUGCAAUGUCUGUCCAUAUCUAUAUUUUCAGCUCUAUAAGUAAUGUACAUAAGGGAACAAGGUGAAAUGUUGCAAAGUUUUAUCCGCCUUUUUAUGUAAGCAUUGAUUUGGGGUAGAUUUUAACACUCCACACCCAACAGAACUAUGAUAAAAAUACUAUCUUGAAUCAUUAGACGGUCCAUGGAGUGCAAGACAUAAAAUUUUGAAACAAUUUAGUUAAGAUUAAAAAAAACUAUUUGUUUAUAUAUAAUUAAUUAUAUAUUUAAAAACUUCCUAAGUUAAUAUAACAUGUUGACCUCUAUAAUAUUGCUCUUACAGCAACUGAAUAUUCUUUAUUCUUGUAAUUAAUGUUGUAUUUUUGAUACCAUGACUGUAGGUACUUAAUAUUGAUGUUAUUAAAAAGUAAAACACUAAAGUAUAAAUAUUAAUUUCUGUAUUAUAACAAGAAACAUUUUUAUUACUUCCCAAUUUACACUUUCUAAAUAUUUGGAUUUAUACUUCAUUAAUUAUAUUCGAAUUUUGAACUCUUGGGUAGCAUGGAAUUUAAAGGCUGAAUCCCCAUGUAAUAACUAUGGUUAUAUUUUUAAAUACAAUAGCAUUAUAUUAUAUUUUUUAUUAAUAACUAUACAUAAUGCAAGAUCAAACUAUGAAAACUAAAUCCAAAAUUAUUAAUUUUAUUCAAUCCAGAUUACAUAAUAAAAUUAUUAAUUUUAUCAAAGUACGAAUUUACUUACUCUAGCGCAAACUUUCUGAUUCUAAGCUUCACAGGAAUUUUUUUGUGUAAAUAUUUCCAACACUGCUUAACAAUCACAGUAUUCUGUCUAAUAUCUUCCUACUCUGUUAUCAUCUUCACAGACACACCCAAUUUUAAUAUGUCUAAUCUUGACACAACUUGUUUUAAUAUUUGAUAAGUUAUCAGAACUUUGUUAAAAUUUAGUUAUAUAUUCCUUGACACACUUUCUGAUCUAAGUAUUGAAUUUUAAAUGGUGUAAACCAUGUAAGUUAGUUUGAAUAUGAAAUAAUUCAUAUUCAAUCAAGUGAAAAACUGUCAAAUUCUUAUUUUGUUGCAGUAAUAAUUUUAUAAUUUUGUAAAGAACUUUGAUACAGAUAAGUCAGUACCUACUUAAGUUAUUUAAUGUUAUGAAAAUGUUAAAAAUAUAAUCACAAUUAAAAUUAAUUUGAUUCUCAUAGACCUAAGGUUUUUUUUUAUGUACAGAACUAAUAAGUUUUGUUACAAGAACUGACAACUUAUUAUUUAUGUCAAUUAUGCUUAAAACAGAUGACCAAUAAAACUUGUAAAAAAAGAAAACAUGUCUACAUUGUAUGCAAGUAACAUUGGAUCUGUAAUAAUUGCUAGAUCUUUAUAUGUUUAACUUGUAAAGACAAAGCCAAAAAAGGAUGGGUUUAGGAGUAAAGUUGUAUUUAUUUUUUGUGAAUUGGGGCAAUGAUGUAAAAGAUUAAAAAGUGUCAUUUACAGUAAUGGUAUCUGUUUUGGUAGGCGUAAAAAUGGUAGGUGGUAAGUUGUGAUUGGAAUGGAACUAAUAUAGUUUAUAAAAUUCCUUUAUGAUUACAUAUAUUGGAUGUGCUUUCAGAUUACAAGUAUCGAUUUUAAAAUGCAUAACUUCUUCGUGAAAGGCCAUGAAACUUUGCAGCAAAUCCAAUCUAACAACAUCAAAACAUUUUCCAGGUUUUGAUUGUUGUAAUCAAUUACUAGAAAGAUGGCUUUCUAGCCAUUGAUCUAGCCAAAUCUACCCUCUAACUUUGUAGAACUGAUUAAUUAUGAGUAUUUGAAAACACUUGAAAUAGUAAUAUCACUUAUUUAUAUAAUUGAGCCACUACAAAAUUUCACCUUACUAUCAACACUUUCCCUUUAAGUUCAAGUAUUAAAUCUCCAACUCUACCAUUUGUCCCUUUUAAAACAUGUUCUUGAAUAAAUGAACAUGCGAUUGAUACCAAUCUAAUUUGGUUAACUAAUGUAAAUAGAUCUAACUCUAUUUAAGGAAACCUCUGUAUAUGUUGUGAACUUGUGAUCCAGUUUUAAUGUAAUUAUGUCAUCGUGUAUUGAUCCAUAUUUGUCAUUUAGCAACUGUUACUUUUACUAUGUUAGUAACUUCCUAAAACCUUUGUAUGGUUCUAUAUAAGUAGUAUUAAACUUAAUGUUAAAAUAAAAUAAUUACAAUAAUUUAUUUCAAUGAUUUAAUUGAAAUAAUAAUAAAAUAAUUGGUAAAAACAAAAUUUUAAAUAAAUAAACUUAAACCAGUUGGAGUAGUAAUUACUUAUUUCUAAAUGUUCAUAAGGAAAAUUCUUUUCAGUAAUCAAUAAUAUCAAAUUAAACACUGCAAUUAAUAUUGUAUCAUAGAAAUAAAAUUUAGAGAUCUCUCUGUGAUAUAUACUCUAAAUGAAUUACAUCUUAAACAUUUUCGCAAUCCUACAAAGAAAGUAAAGUUGUAAAAAUUGUUUCCUUACCCUCCAUUUUUAAUAAGUUUAUAUAUAUUCAGGUCAUAUAUUCCUGUAUUAUAUCAGACUUUUUUGUUUUUCCAAUUCUAGGGAUUUUCACAAACCCACAGUAACAUUUCCUGCCAGUUUUGUGGUGUCCAGCUGCACACCUCUUCAAUUCUGUUAAGAGAAUACAUUUUAAUAAUUUAGUAACUACCUUAUUUUGUUUACACUGUAAAUCAAUGUAAUGAUCCGUUUUUCUUCUGUAAACAAUGAUUUCUGCUCAGAAAUCCACUCAUGCAUCAUAAGGCGGUAAAAUAUAAUAAACAUAAAAGGUGAAACUGAUUAAAUUUCAUUGUAAAACUGGCAUAUGAUAAAACACUGUUUCCAUAUAACUAUUCAAACAUAAUUGGGCUGCAACUAAGAUUUCCUAAUAUUUCAUUCUUCCAAUCCAACAAGUACGCAGAAAAAAAUGUUGGCAGCCUAAGCUAUCAAAAUAAAUAUUGGAGUUAAUUUAGUAAUAGUUCAAUAUCAGCUAAAGCUUUAAUCAUUGAAUUGCAUUAGGAAACACUCUUUCUACCAUUGGAUUUAACAGACAAUAAAGAAGUUUCCUUCAACUCAAUAUUUUAUCCUACUUCGGACCUGUUGCUCUGGUAACACUGUUUCAUAUACUACUGUUUGACCUACUUCAGGACCUGUUGCACUGGUAGCAAUGUUUCACCUAGCACAGUUUGACCUACUUCAAUACCUGUUGCUCUGGUAGCAAUGUUUCACCUAGCACAGUUUGACCUACUUCAGGACCUGUUGCACUGGUAGCACUGUUUCAUAUACUACUGUUUGACCUACUUCAGGACCUGUUGCACUGUUUCACCUACCACAGUUUGACCUACUUCAAUACCUGUUGCUCUGGUAGCAAUGUUUCACCUAGCACAGUUUGACCUACUUCAGGACCUGUUGCACUGGUAGCACUGUUUCAUAUACUACUGUUUGACCUACUUCAGGACCUUUUGCACUGUUUCACCUACCACAGUUUGACCUACUUCAAUACCUGUUGCUCUGGUAGCAUUGUUUCACCUACUACGGUUUCAAUAGCUGGAUUUCAUAAUCUUAGAUCUUGCCCAAGUGAUUGUUUCCAGUGUGAAUACAUGCUAAGUGACAUUUAUGGGUGAACUAGAUAUUUGGUAAAACUUGUAGUAAAAUCUCUACAGGCGGUUACUAUUUGAGUAUCAGUGAAAUGGUUGGUGAUCUCUUUUAUGAACUUAAAAAGCCCCUUGUGAUCUCUUUUAUGAACUUAAAAAGCCCCUUGUCCCCAUCUUCUUUGAGUAUCACACCUCCGUCAGUGCUGAGGAACUUUAUUAAAUUAUGCAAAGACAACCCUACUAUUACAUUAUAACCCUGUCAUAACAAGAAUUUUUCCAGAAAUUUUUGAAUGUUUAUAUAAGAUUUAUAGACAAGUACAUUUCAUUUAAUCUAGUAUUUCAAACUAAUCAAAAUUGAAAUCCUCGAACUGUUGGUACAUUUUUUUCUGAUCUGACAAACAUGUUCAGCUAUUUUAAAGAUUCCUUUACUGAUAAUAUGUCCUACUAAAAUUUGAAUGGUAUUGAUAUAAGUAUUAACAUAUAGCAAUAUUAGACCACUGUAUAAUUGUUUUGACAGACGUUCUAAAAAUAUCAUAACUAUAUUCAUUUCAUUGUUUAAAACAAUAAAGAAUGAAUUUUUGAAAACACUUGGAUGUCCCUUUUUAAACACUUUAUAUUGAUUGGUCUGUAGAAGUGUAUAUGAGAUAUUUUUAUAAAAUGUUUAAAAUGAAACCAAUUUAAACUUUUUUGAAGUUUUAAUUUAAUAGCAAAUUAUAUCUGAAUUAAUAAAUGUUAUGAUAAUUUUUCAAUGUUACUACAUAACAACAGUUCAAUAGACCAACAGUUGAUAGCAAUGAUUUUUACUUUUAAAAUAGUUGAAAGGAUGUAUUCGUAAAAUUUGAAUUGGUCUUGAACGUCUUGGUCUUCACAACAUUAAAAACUUACCUUUUUUAAAGAAUCAUGGGCAUAGAGACCUUGUGUCAGCAAAAUUUUGGUUGUAGAAGUUAUACAGUAAUACCAUAAACAGAUUAUCAGAAAAGUUAUUUAACAAUAAAUUUACUCCUGGGCUAAACACUUUUCUAAAUAUGAAGAUUUAAAAAUACCCACAAGAAGGUUACUGAAACGGUGAAUAUGAAACUUUAUUGUAAAAUACAAAGCAAUUUCAGGUACACCAUAAGCAGAUGAUUCUCCUAUAUCCCACACAACAUUAUAAAAUGCCAACAAAUUUUAAAUUCUAUUAAGAUACCAUGGUAACAUGUGUCAUGCGUUCUCUGUUGAAGAUUUCUUAUCUAAGCAUAUUUGCAAUUAAGAGUAUAGCCAUUAUGCUUCAGUAUUAUUAUUGAGGAUAUGUAGGUUUGAAUGGGACAAUCACAGACUAUACAUGAAUAAAGUAAUUUUAAUGCAUUUUGACUAAAAGUAUUUUCAGCAAAAGAAGAAUAUUUUUUUGCGUAUCUCUUAGAGAAGUAAUCACUAUCUUGUUGAUACAACAAUUUAAUAAAUACAUAUGAAAAAUAAAUGUCUUAAGACUUUCGUCCUCAGAAGAACACAAUACAUUUCAAUAUAUUAUCUCCUUUCCUUACAUAUCUCACACAACUGAAGUCCUAAAAGUUUGGUAUUUUAUUAUUAAAAUAGAACUAUAACCAACAAACCAAUGUUUAAACUUAUUUCUGAUUAGGUACCAUCAGGUUAAAUUCGUUUAUCAAUUGAGCACUGUUUUUUUAAGUACAAUUGUUUCAUUAUUGCAUAUAAUAAAUAUUUUAAAACGUGGAUCGACCUGGAUUCGAGUGUAUAGAUGAUGACAAAAUUACACUAAAACAUUUCACAUGAUAUUCGUUUAGCUUAGAUGAUAAAAAUAAAAUGAAAAAAGAAAACUAUUACUACUGUGGUGUGUAGAUGGAAAUAUAUUUCUAUUGUGACAUCGUUAUAUGUACUUCAGUUGUAUUAUAUUUAUUUUGUAUAAAGUUUUUCAAUUGAAUUCGUUUUCUUUCAUUAAAGGAAAUCAUAAUUCAAUUGUUUGGUACAUAGUUUUAAACUGUGGAUACUAAUAGAUCAGUGAUGGGAGUAGUUAUAACUAGCAAGUAAUACGUGAAACUAGCAAUACCGUAUUGUACUUUAAGGUUAUUGUAUUCGUAUUGUAUUGUUGUAUUGUGUUGGUGUUGAACAACUCUCGCCUAUUUACUUUGGAAGACCAGAUGUCAUGUGGAUGAAUUUUGUCACUGAAAUCUCAGAUUAUUGUUGAGCUUAGUGUUUCUACAAAUUUCAAUUGUGUUUAUCAAAAUUUGUUUAGUUCUUUGAGGUGGUUUUCUUGAAUUUGAAGACUAUCUAAUUUUGAGAAACAAAAUCACUUCUAACUACACAAACAGUUAGGUUGAGGUCCAUAUGAACAGUAUUUUAUUAUACGUAACAUUAUCUGAGUUUACAUUAUCAUCUUUUAAAUGACAGAUUCUGCUAGUUUCUACUAACUUUUUCAGUAUAGAUAGGUAAUGUUAAAACAGGCUGUACCGGCAACCAACUUGAUUUUUGCCCAUAAAGAAUCUAUUUUAAAUCUGAAACCAUUUUACGUCAUAUGAUAUAGUGAGUUGUCACUCUAUAAUUUUAAUACACAUAUAAGUGAUUUUUAUCCUGUUUCCAAUUUUCCAAAAAGAAGCCUUGUCUACAAUAGUGGAACAGUAUAAUAUUAUAGGAACCAAAACCCCUCACACACAUUUAAUACUUUAAUAUUAUUAAUGAACAGGCAGUGACAAAAAUCAUCAGAAGUAAUUUAUUACUCCUAGCAGACUGUUCCUGAUAUUUGUAUUCAGUAUAUUGUCGACCUUUAGACUUAUCCAACUUAGAGCCUUAUACUGUACUUAUAACUUAUUUGUGUAAUUUGAUUGAUAAUGAAAUUGUGAAAUGUGCUUUAUAGUGUGAGUUCUUCCACUUGUUAAAGUUACCACUGUAAAUAUUUGCCUUAGUCGUUUCUGUAUUGUUAGUCAACUUUCCAGUCCGCAUUUGCUUCUUUAUUUGUUUUUUUUUUUUACUUUUAUAAUUCUAAUUUGUUGAAACAUUCAAUAAUAAUUCUUUGUGAACUAAUUUAUUUAUAUAUUUCUUUUACAUUUUAUACUUCAGUACUUAUUUUGAUACACUUGUUUAUUGUUUAGAUUCAGUUUUACAAACAACUGUAGUUAUCUACUGUGUUUACUAGACAAUCAUUUUAUUCAAUAAAUGAAUAAUACGGUUUGAAAAAACUUAUCCAUAAAUAAAUUCCCCAAAACUGUAUACAGAUCUGUGUUUUGAAUUUUAAAAGACUGAAAACAAUGAAUAAUGAGUACAUGUCAGAGUAUGUGUUUGAUGUAAUGUCAAAUUGGGUGUUGUGGUGGUUAGAAUCGUAGUAGGCUUUCUGGCAUGAGUUAAUAAACAACAAUGAACAAUAAACUUAUUACAAAUUAACAAUGAACAAAAUAUUCCUGUUAAAGUUUAAUGAUUUAGUUUCUUUUAUUUUUUGGAAAUCUUAGUUACAAUGAAUUUUGUUUUUCUUUGGUAUGUUAUUUCUAGGUUGCUAUAAACCUCCAAGAGGUAAUAAAUUUCUCAAGUAAAGGAAAUUUCAAACUCUUGUCUAUUUUUAAUACUAUGUCGUAUUUAUGUGGGACAUUCCAAUUUCAUUUUUUUACCUUAUUUGAAUUGGUGGAAUAAAUAUUCCAUGUGAAUAAUUAACAAUAACUGAAACAGAGUUAUGACUUUGUAUAUCCUAAAAUUAUAAAAUAUCUGUCCAAGUCUUGGAUGAAUUCAUUAUCAGUUUUAUAAUUGCUAACUAAAGAGAAAGAUUAAUAAUGCAGGAAUACAUAUAUCCCCACAAGAUAAGAUAACAAUAUACUAGUUCUAUUAAUAGAUCUUUGAAAGAAACAUUCUCCCCAAUAUGGUAAAAAUAAAUCUCACCUCCUCAGGGUUAUCAAAUAAUGUUUGCUUUUAGAAUUUGUCUGUCAGUUAUGUUAAUUUUACUAUUUUUUUAUUUCUGUUUUAUUUUAUUAGCUAUUCAAUAAAAUACACAAACACAUGUAUAUUAACUGGUCAUCAAUUCUUGUCUCUGAAAGUUUGAACUGUUAGUAGGUUAUGAUGUACGGUCUAUGUCUAAACAUCAACGAUUGAAAUUCUAACUUGAAAUUAUAUUCUAGGCUUGAGAAGAAGGUGGAGUUAAACAAGUUUGUACAUUUUAUUCGUACCUAACCCAAUACAGGGUUGUGCUUCCUUUCAAGCGGUUUGUUUACUGGUGCUUACAACAAAAUUGUAGCAAAAUUUUAGUUUUACCUCUUUAGCCUAGCUUUACAGCAUACAAAUAAUCUUGAACUGAACUUGUUAUCCAACCAUCUUCUUCUUCAAGGUUAAAGCCAUAUUUAGGCACCUAAAGUAUUGAAUGUCGUAGUUAUGUUGUAAAAGACAUACAUGUAAGAUAGUUAUAUUUAGUUGUUGUGUUGUUGGUGAUAUAAGAGUUAUAUUCAGUUGGGUGGAUUUAGUAACAGGCCUUCAACGGUCUCUGAAGCUGCAUCUAUGGAAUUGAUCGAUUCUCCUACCCACACAAGUGAUACAUUUUCAUUCAUUUCUUAUAGCUGUUUUAGUAUUAUUCAUAAACAUUUUAUGGUUUUGUUAUAAGAUUUUGGCAUGUGAUGCUGUGUGUUGAAAUUCCAUCUGCUUUGGUAAGAGUAUUUAAAACUGUCUUUUCAUAGAAAACAUGUAUUAAUUAUGUCAAGCAGUUAAAAGUUAUAUUUUAUAGUAGCAUGUAUUCUUAUUUAAAUAAAUCUAUUUUCUUUCAGAAUCAAUAUUCAUCACUGGUUCUUAACCAAAUAUAUUAGAACAUGCUUGGCCACAUUACUAUUGAUAUAAUAUAUGGUAUAAAAACUCUCUGUAUGUUUUAGUCUAUUUCUAAUUUGAUGUAUCUGAAAAGUUUUUUUCCACGUAGACUAUACCCCCACGCUGACAAAGAUAUACUUUUAUAGAAUCUUUGCUACGUUCAAUAUAGAAUAUAUUUUUUAUUAGUGACUUAACAGUCAUUUGCUAGUUAUCAAUACAGUAGUACAUAAUUUGUAAGCAACAGUUGCAACACUUCAAUUAGUACCAUUUGAGUCCAAUACUUCAUCAUGAGAUGAAAUACAAUAGUUUAUGAAUUAAUCAUUAAUUCUAAUAUACUUUUGUACAAUUUAGAGUUCUUUUGAGUAAUAUUUAAUAUUUCCGAAAAAUGUAACUUUUGACAACACCUCACGGUUGUUUUUGGAUUUAACAGAGGUAAGAAUACCUAAUUAAUUGUCAAAAUGUUUUACCUACUUUUUCGAACAAUCAUUUCAGCAAAUCAUAUGGACUGGUUUAAUGCAUAUAACCUUGUUUUUUCACAAAAUAUUUUGCAAUUUAUAAGUGAGAUAAACGCUGAUAACUAACUCUACAGUAAUUUUUAUGUUGAGGCUUUGGAAAACUGUUAAAUAGCUAACACUGUCAUGAAUGUAAAGUGAUAAAAUGAGCAACUAAAUAAAAAUGUUUGUACUUUUGAUAAAUAAACUUCCCCCAAUUUUAUUCUCUUUGAAAUUAAUGAUCCAAAACCUUUUUAGGCACAUUUCAGCAAAAGGAAAUAUAUUAUUUUCAUGCAUGUUCAAGAGUUUUCAUGCAUUCAACAUAAUUUUUGUAUUAAGAUUGGAGUUGUUACUGUUAUCUGGAUGGGAAACAAAGAACUGUAAGACAAGUUGUUUGACAACGUAUUGAAUUCCAAUUUCAUUUUUAUUUUUCGUGUUGAUAAAUUUAAAUAUGUGCCUCAAAAUGGACCAGUACACAAAAAGUACCCCAUAGCAUUGGUUUUUCAGAUCAUCACAUGCCAAAAUGUGUAUGGUAUUAUUUACUAAUAAUUCAUUAAUAGUGAAGUAUUAAUUAGCAAUAUUAUUAAUUUUUUCAGUGUAUUUUUAAUUUUUUGUGUGUGUUUUUAAGUUGUUUUGUUUUGCUUUGUGUGAACUAUAAUUAUAAAUUUUGUUACGUUUUCUAAAUAUACAUGCUAUAUAAACUGUUGAAUUUUUGGUACUUCAAUCACUUUGCUAUUCACUGUGAUAUAAUUAAUUCACAGAUUGUAGUUUACUAUGAUAGUGAUGUCAAAACCUUUUACUCUCUUGUAAAAAGGUUUUACAAGGUUUCUUGUAAAUGACAUAUGGUAUUAUUAUAACUUUGAAAUAAAAGUGUUUUUGAAUCAAAUGCGCUUUUCAUUAGAAAUUGGUAAACAAAUAAUAUAAAAUUUUAAGUAUUGUUAUUUACCCAUGAUAUUGGAAUGGACAGUUAGGUUACUUUAAAUUAGUUACAAAAUUAACAUUUAAUACAGUUAUUAAUAUUUGUUGAUUAUUACAAAUUGGAUUUUAAAAGAUGCAAUUUUUAUCGUUAAAUUGUUAGUACUGAAUACUUGUAAUUAGAAAACCCGUUAGAAAUUGAUAAAGAUUUUAAACAACUGUUUAAAUUGUUAGUUAGUAUUUAAAUAUUGUUAUUUAUAUAUGGAACUGAAAUGGUCAUUUAUGUUACUUUAACAGAUACACAGCUAAAAAAUUUAUAUUUAAACUCAUUACUCAUGCUAAAAACUUUUUUUACUUAUAAACAUACCUUAUCAUGAGGUUAUUCCAGGAAAGGAAAAACAAAUUUCGGAUACCAAAUUUCUCGGAAAUGUGAUCCCAUCAGUUUUGUCUCUAAUCACAGACAGCACUAACAAAAAGUUUUUACUGUCUUAAAAGUCCCAUUUCACUAAAUUAAAUCCUUGUAUCAUUUUUACUUACACUAUUUAAAACAUAACUCCCAUCACCCUCUGAAAUUUCUUAGGGGCCUCCCACUUGCCAAAUCAGUUAAGUACACAUUUUGUUCUAAGUUACUGCCAAAGAAGAAGUCUUGUUAUUUGUUAUCCGUAGUUGUACUUGACCCUGUCAUUACAAUCCAUGGAGCACAGAUAGUAUUAUGAUGUAACACAAACAAAGACACUUCACAAUUACUGAAAAUGAAACUAUUGAGCUCCUGACUCAAAUAUAACAAUAUCAGGUUACUAACAACAGCUAUGAAAAGUCAAUGGCCUAGCACCAAUGCUGAAGGCAAACUAAGCGUAUAUUGCAAUAAUGGUGAAAGGUCUCUGAUCAGAGAUGUUAGUAGUAAAUAAGUUAAAUUAUUAACACAUCCUAAAUUUAGUACAAUUACUAAUUUUUUAUCAUUGCAAAUUCUAUUCACAAAGCUAAAUUUUAUCUUGUAGUUUAGAUAACUCAAUAAUUGUAAUUGGUACACAAAAUAUACUUGUAACAAAAAUUAAAUAUCAAGAUCUUUACUAAACUGUUUAUUAAAUUGUUAUCAACAUAAGUUAUAGUAGGAAGUUCACUCAGUAUUUAACAUCGUCUGGAUAUAAAAAUAGUCCUCACAAAGAGUUGUUUAGAGAAAUUGAUCCCACACAAAUUAUUCCAAGCAUAAUGAUGACUUGGUUUCCUUACCUGUUAAACGUCAGUGCCCAAUGGAAUCAAAUAGUAAUGGAAUAAUUUUAAAUAUGGUAAAAAUAUUUAAUUUAAAAUAAAUAAUUGAAAAUAAAUAUUAAAAAAUAAAUAAUGCUGUUUAGAAGUGUUUCAUUUUUAUCAAAUGGAAUUUUAAUAAAUCAAACUUCUUCAUUGCAUUUAAUGAAUUGUGUUAAAAUGCGAAUAAAACACAAAAUUGCUCUUAAUUAAACUGCAUAUUACUCUUGUCAGAUUCAUAUCUCGUAAGUAAAAAAGACAAAAGAGAUAUUGGGUGUAUUUCAGAGUAACUUAAUAUUUCUUUGCUGCUUCUACAACUCAUUAUCUUAGUCACUUAAUGUAAUUUUAAAUUUUUAACCUUGAAACACAAUAAGUCACAUAACCUGUUUAUUUAUUGGUAAAUUUAUAAUUCAUAAACUGUUUUGUUUGUAAUUAACAAAUUGAGGCAUUUUAAUGUUUCAUAAUGAUUUGUCUUAUCAUGAAUUAUGAUGUAGCAUGAAAUAAUUAUAUCAUUUGUUUACCUUAAAUUAUGUAAGAAAUUAGAAUCAUUCUGUCAGAUUUAAACCAAAAUAAGAAUGUAAAGGUAAAACACAAAAGUAACUAAUUAGCAAACAAAUUGAUAAAUAAUUACCUUUGUAUAUUUGCUUUGUAAACAAUACAGACACUACAUAAUAUCUUCUUCUUGUAAAGUGAUAAAAUACAAGUAACAAUAAAGAAAAUUUAUUAAGAUAAUGAGGUAAUAUGAUCAGAAGAAGCUAACUAAGCUCUCCAUACCUAGUCCAGUUUAGAGAACCUUGUAUGUAGAAUUGUUGUCAGUACAUGCUGAGGUACAAAGGGCAUGUAGUCACUAAUUGUGAAAUAUACUACCUGUAAAAAAAAAAAAACAAUGUACUAUACUGGUAUUUGUAAAUAUUCAGUUUUAAAAAUUAUAUUCAACAUUUGUUAUAGAGUGUCAAAAAUGUUAUAAAUUCAGUUUGUGUUUUUAUAGAACACUUUGUUUUUUGUUCACUUUGAGGAAAAUUCUGAAAUGCCAACAAAUUACUAGUUUGGUCAAAGUAAUGAUUUAACUAAUGUAUAGAGAUCAUUAGUUUUAUUUGGGAUAAAACCCAAAUUCCAAAGAAUUGUAACUAUUGAUGGAUGUAAUGAUUUAACCAAUAUUUAGGGAUUAUCAGUCUUCUGAUUUGUGUGAGAACUGCAAGAAUGCUAUACUUUUUAUGGAUGGAUGGAUGGAUGGAUGUUACUUUAAUGGCAUUAAUUUGAUUCUUUCUCUAAGGAAACUGAUUGACUGUAGGCCUAUAUAGUUCUGUUUACACUGAUUAUACAGUCUCAUUUUGCGGUUAAAGUAGUAAAAAAUUCCAGUUUAGUGAUUAAAGUACCAAAAGUCUAAAAAAGUUGAGUUUUAUUCAUGUUUUCGAUCACUGUUAUUGUUACGAGUUUGUUAGAUAUUUAUGUUUGUUUCAAUUAGUAUGUAAAUACACUUAAAAAUAUUUCCUACAUCUGUAUAUAAAAUGUUGUACAUAAAAUGACAAUCACAUAUCUAAUGUAGCUGUCUUUUAUUUUGUUUAUUUUUCUUGAAUAAUGUGAUGUGUGUAAAACAAUUUGACACCGUGAAAGUAAGCCGUAUUGUUUUAUUUUGUAAACGUCAGUAAUUUAAAACCACAUUAAUAUCAGUUAAGAGUUAUGUACGGUAGUUUUUAAUGAGGUGUUUGUUUGAGUUAGCAUUUUUCAAUGUUUAUUCUACAUUAUUGAUAUUUAUAAUUAAUUUUAUUCUUAAAUGCUAUUAGUGACUAUAUUAAACAAUGAAAUUUAAUCCAUUCACAUUAACAUUUUCAUUCUUAGAUUAUAAUUAAAUGUUUUACACACAUAACGUUAUGGAAAACAAUAUGGAUGCAAGUAUGUUUUCUUUUUUUAUUUUGAAAUACAUUUUUAGGUACACUGGUUCAUUCAUCAUUAACAUUUGAAUAAAGAUGCUCUUAAGACAAA